GUGAGAGUUGAGACGAGACGUGAGAUACGUUCGUAGCGGUCGAUAGAGCUUCCAACCCAGGUUAUUCAGUUUAGCUUUUACCCUUACUAUUUUAUUGAUUUAGCUUAGACAGUUGUAUGGUUCAGUAUUUUUAUUACAUGUGAAUAUGUGGGUUUUCAUGAAUGUAAUAAAAGGAUUUAUGGAUCUUGGUGAAAUGGAAAAAUGGUUUUCUACCCCUCGUGGUAGUGUUUUAAAGGAAAAGGGUUUCCGUGUGGAAAACAGAUUUGAAAAAGGUAUUCUUGUGGUUGUAUCCUGGUUAUGUACUUGUACUUGUGCGACGUCGUGCAAAUACAGGGGAGACUCUGUCCGUGUGAACAGUGGACUCCCUGUAUUUGUGGCGGAUCUGGCAUACCGUGG
This 396-nucleotide long non-coding RNA is filed under the name Ananas comosus (pineapple). Its description in RNAcentral is "long non-coding RNA (ACOM_LNC005547)". Lineage: Eukaryota; Viridiplantae; Streptophyta; Magnoliopsida; Poales; Bromeliaceae. The record is from RNAcentral.